AGCAGCCGCGGUAAUUCCAGCUCCAAUAGCGUAUAUUAAAGUUGUUGCAGUUAAAAGCUCGUAGUUGAAUUUCGGGAUUGACGUGAUGGUCGUGCCUUACGGGGUAUGAACUGUUGCUGUUGAUUUCUCACCUUCUGGAGAAACUUGAUGUCCUUAAUUGGGUGUCUUGCGGAUCCAGGACCUUUACCUUGAAAAAUUAGAGUGUUUAAAGCAGGCAUUUUGCUCGAAUACAUUAGCAUGGAAUAAUAGAAUAGGACGGCAUGGUUCUAUUUUGUUGGUUUCUAGGAUCACCGUAAUGAUUAAUAGGGAUAGUUGGGGGCAUUAGUAUUCAAUUGUCAGAGGUGAAAUUCUUGGAUUUAUUGAAGACUAAACUACUGCGAAAAGCAUUUGCCAAGGAUGUAUUCAUUAAUCAAAGAACGAAAGUCAGGGGAUCGAAGACGAUCAGAUACCGUCGUAGUCUUAAACCAUAAAACUAUGCCGACUAGGAAAUCAAGACGAAUGUUUAAAUUUUUUAAUUGUA
RNAcentral lists this unclassified non-coding RNA (520 nucleotides) under uncultured Entrophospora. RNAcentral's name for it is "SSU rRNA". It matches the Rfam family "Eukaryotic small subunit ribosomal RNA", at positions 569 to 1078 of the family's 1831-position model. Lineage: Eukaryota; Fungi; Glomeromycota; Glomeromycetes; Entrophosporales; Entrophosporaceae. The record is from RNAcentral.